GGCCCUGGAAUAGUCGGGAGGAUGGGUUUUGGGGGAAGUGGUGGGUGAGAGGUGCAGCGGGGGGGGGGCAGAAGGGCAGAGCUCAGGGGUUGUCCAUGCCCGGGGCUGUGCCCCUCCUGGGGACACAAGAUCGUUCCCUGCUGUGCACAGUGUGGGGAGGCUUGAGCAGCACGGUGAGCCCAGGGAGAGCUUGCCAGGCUUUUAUUCUGCUUCCUGUUUGGUGUUUGGGAUGAAUCCCCCCACAGGAAGAGCUGGCAUCUCCAUGGCCACAGGCCCAUCCCUUGCAUCCCACCCCAUUCCUCCUUAUCCUUGCUGCCCAGCCUGGGGGUGAGCCUAACCUAAAAGCUUCCAACCUGCCCCCUCCCUCCCAAGCAGCACCCUUCCUAGCAGCAGGAUCUGGCCCUUGGCAGCAUCCCAGGGAUGCCAGGCACUUCCCUCUGCCCCUAAAACCCCACAAAUUCAGAGGUCAUCAAAGUUCAGCCACCAAAUCCCUCAUGGGGUUGGCAGAGGAAGCAACCCUGCAGAUCCUGGGAGCCCCAGUGCUUUCCUCGAAGACAGUGAGUCAAACUUCUUGCCUGGGUGGAGCAGGCAGAGCCGGUCAGGGGACUUGGUCCCAUUGCUGAUGCAGCCUCGACAUCUGAUUUGCUUUCAUGCAUGGGUGAAUGUGGCUGUGGCUGGGGGAGGAUGGGGUGAUGGUGCUUGCGAGGGGGUCUUUCCAGGAGCCCGGGUGGGUGAUGAGGGCUGUGAAUAAGGACGCAGCAGGCGAUGCGAACAUAUGACUCUGAGCUGGUCGGGAUGCAGAGGAUGCAGCCAAAAAAGGCUGUGACCAGGCAACGCUGUGUUUAAUUGCAAUAAGUGCUUCCCUUCCCCAAAAUACGAGGGGACCCUACUGGUGACGCGCUCCUCUGCGUCAAAGCCCAACGUGGCCUCGUGGUCGGUGCGUUGAGCCUGGGGCUGCUGAGAGCAGGGACACAUGGGGACCGUGCCACCGAGCACGUGGGUGCAGCGUGCACCGGGCUGACACUUGACCAAGUAAUGCUGGAGGAAAUUGUGAAAGGGCGGCCAGAUGCCGUCUGCAUCGAGAAGUGGAAGAAGUGCGAGCUACGGGGAACCCAUGCCAGGAGGUUCCCACAGUGUCACCGGGGCGGGAUGAGGGAAGGUUGAGGUGGACAGACCUGCCAUGGGGAGUCACUUGGGUCCAGUCUGUCCUUGGAGGUUGGAGGAGCUGGGUCUGUAGUGGGUUUAUGUGGCAAGGUUUUGGUAGCAGGGACCAUAGGGGUGGCUUCUGUGAGAAGAAUCCAGAAGCUGCCCCAUGUUAGAUAAGGGCCCUGCUGCUCGCCAAAGCUGGGCCCAUAAGGGAUGUUGUUUGUGCCUCUGAGAGCAUAUUUAAGGAAGAAAAAACACUGCCACACAGUAGCUGACAGAGGGAAGAGUGAGAAGCAGCCCUGCAGCCCCCAAGGUGGCAUCUCCUGCACUCCCCGGUGCUCCCUGGUCCAGGAUGGGUGCAGACACCCAUGGUCCCCAGUCCCCCUGUGCUGCUUCCAGACCAAUGCAGCUGGGGUUUACUGGGGACAUGCGGUUGCUGAGUGGACACAUAUGGCUGUUUUUUCCCUGAAAGGCAAGUGCUUCCUGCCAGAAAAACGUCAUUCCAUCGAUAAAUACUCAGAAUGGAAAAAUGUUUGACCUUCCCUAUUGUGUGACUUCCAUGGGAAGUUGGCCAGGGAGUAGAAGGAGCUGGCUCCCAGUCUUAUUCAGCCCAGUGCAGCUUCUGCUGGACACCAGGAGGGACGUGUGCCUGGAUGCCAUGAGCAUCCAAGACCUUUUGCCAGCCAGCAAGGGCCUGAUCAAUGUCCUAAAAAUGCUCUGUGUAAACUGUUAUAAAAGAUUCUCCAAACUUCUGAGGACUUGGAUGCUCGCUCUGUCUUUUUUGGCACAUCUCAAUCUGUCUUAUCUGCAAGACCCAAGCAACUUGUUCGGAAUAGACCAAAACAAAAGCUGGUGUUUUUUUCUCCUUGUUUGGAAGGUGUUUGCUGUCUGUGGUACCGACAGACAUGGCAAAAGUAAGAGAAUAGUAAAACCAGGUGGUUAACCAACUGUUUAGAAGAUAACUACAAGUCACCAGGCUUCUCAUCAGCAAGGGCUGAAUAUGCCAACAGGGCUGGGAAAGGAGCUUAGGAUUUGAUGUCUUCCAGUUGCUUGUGCAUGAAGAUGCUUGAAUGUCUCACCUCUGCAUCCAGGCCCUGGGAGACAGGGGAUGGAUCAUGCCAGCCCGGCCAGAGGACCAUGGAGGCCUCCUGAGAUGCCUCCAGGAACGUCCUGGGGCCACUAAGUGUCUGUGUCACUGCUGUCAUGGGACACAGGUGGUCCUAGAGCGAUAUGUGUGUCGGAGCUGGGCCUGACACCGGAGUGAUGCUGGUGCCUGCAGAGUGCCUGCUGGUGCCUCCCUGGUCUUUGCCCGUCUGCUUGGAGAUGCCUUGGCCAAGGCUGGCCCAUGGGACUGCAGGGAGCUGAGCCUAAGGGGGAGCUCUGAGCUGUCUCAGUCCCUGCCAGCAAGAGAUGUCCACAGACGUGCUGGGGUUCAGGUGCCCUCAAGGUGAUGUCCAGAGCAGUGCUGCAGGAUGCUCCUCGAGCCUCUCUGCGAGAUGCCACACCGGAGGGCUAUGCAGAGGGUGCCAGCCAGGACGGCUCACGCACAUGGGCACUCCAGCCCAUAAAAAGGCUUCAGCAUCUGGCUCCAGAUGCUGAAAUUGGGUGACUGCUUGAAAAUGUCAGCUUGCACUAAAAAAAAUAAAGCAGCAUGCUUCUAGCUUUCAGGGUGGUGCAAAGCCAGACAUCAAGAACACAGACGGCAAAGUCCUGGGGCCAUGGGCAGUCUGGGGAAGGCUGAGGAGCAGCAGAUGGAGAGGAAAGCCCAGUUCUGCAGCAGCUCAGACCACAUAAGCGAUGCUCCAUACGGCACCAUCCUCACUGUCGCCUUCGCAGAUAGCUUUUUUGGCUACUAGGCUGGUUAUUUAUAACUCUCCCCUUUUGUUUUUAUUUGUGAGCAACAGCUCGUGGCUGCAGGGAGGACAGAUACAGCCAGCCCCAGCGUGCAGGAUGCAGCCACUUCUCAGAAGAACGGAAAAGGGUUUGCAGGUCCCAGCUGGGGACACCAGCCCCAGGGAGGGGACACCACCCCAUGGGACGCACAGCACAGGUGUCCCUACAUACAGCAAGGUGGCCCCCAGCUCCAGGUCUCCCCGGGACACAAGGGUGACCCUGUGCCAAUAAAAGGGGGCUUGAGGUGCAUUUGACCUGCAGUCCUGCUCACCGGAGGGGUUAAAUCUCCUCCUCUGCUCCUGGGAAUUGCUGGCUCCCUUCCAGCCUGCAUAAGCCUGUUUUGCCUGCCAAAGUCCCACUCAGGGUGCUGACUGCUGUUGCGGGUUUCUUUGGCUGUAAACAGCGCUGCUCAGUGGUGUGGGGCAGCUGCGUGUCUGCCUCUGGCACCACUCCACAGCACGGGGCCGCUUGAGUGGCACUGAUGGAGAGAAAAAGCUGUGAUGGGGGAAUAUUCUCUGUUUAGGGCUUUUCACGCUAUCUCCAGGUAUUUUGAUAAUAUUCAUUAAUUAUGAUCUGGCAAGAGUUGCCUUCCUGUUGCUGGGACAGACACCAGCCAUGGAGCAGGCGCUCAGCAGCAGCUCCACACGGCUCCCUCGCAUGGCGUGGCUUUGCUCUCCAGUGGGAGCACAGCAGUGGCCCCAGUUCCUGCCACUGAUUUGGGCUCAUUUCUGCCAAAAUCCCUUGGAGGGAUGGUGCUGGCGCUGGUGGGGAUCUGUGGCCACGGCGAGAACGGGAUGCACGGGUCAGCGGUCGCUGUGUCUGGCCAAACCCUGCUGCUGGCUAUUUUGAAACACACGUGGGGACUCACUGCCUGGCUUGGUUUUCCCCUCCCUGGCCUCAUCACCCCAAAUAUUUGGGGCAAAGGAAGAAGUGUGCUGCUUCUCACCAGGGUUUUGCUGGCGUCACCUUUGGUCCCUGGGAAGGACUUGGGAUGAGAGUGGGGUGGGAGCAGUGCCCAGCUCGCCGGAGGGGUUAAAUCUCCUCCCUGCUCCCCAGAGGAGCCAGCUCCCUUCCAGCCUGAGUAAGCCCAUCCUCGCCCCUGCCAAAAUCCUGCUCAGGAACGGCACAGACCAGGGAAUGCGCCUAGCAUAACA
Non-coding RNA from Anas platyrhynchos (mallard), 4193 nucleotides. The record is from RefSeq and is a predicted model, not a curated record. Lineage: Eukaryota; Metazoa; Chordata; Aves; Anseriformes; Anatidae.